This 255-nucleotide ribosomal RNA is filed under the name uncultured bacterium. RNAcentral describes it as "partial 16S ribosomal RNA". It matches the Rfam family "Bacterial small subunit ribosomal RNA", at positions 524 to 776 of the family's 1533-position model. The record is from RNAcentral.
UACGUAGGUGGCUAGCGUUGUCCGGAUUUACUGGGCGUAAAGAGCGCGCAGGCGGUCGUUCAAGUCGAGUGUGAAAGCCCUCGGCUCAACUGAGGAAGUGCACCCGAAACUGGCGAGCUUGAGUACGAAAGAGGAUCGCGGAAUUCCCGGUGUAGAGGUGAAAUUCGUAGAUAUCGGGAGGAACACCGGUGGCGAAGGCGGCCUGCUGGGACAAUGCUGACGCUGAGGCGCGACAGCGGUGGGGGAGCAAACAGG